This 452-nucleotide ribosomal RNA is filed under the name uncultured bacterium. Its description in RNAcentral is "bacterial SSU rRNA". It matches the Rfam family "Bacterial small subunit ribosomal RNA", at positions 338 to 795 of the family's 1533-position model. The record is from RNAcentral.
CCUACGGGGGGCUGCAGUAACGAAUAUUGGGCAAUGAGCGAAAGCUUGACCCAGCGACGCCGCGUGUAGGAGGAAGUCCUUCGGGAUGUAAACUACUGUCAGGGGGAAGAAAGUCCGUUUCGGCGGAUUGAUCUAACCCAGAGGAAGUCACGGCUAACUUCGUGCCAGCAGCCGCGGUAAGACGAAGGUGGCAAGCGUUGUUCGGAAUCACUGGGCUUAAAGCGUGUGUAGGCGGAAGCGUAAGCGUCUUGUGAAAUCCCUCGGCUUAACCGAGGAAUUGCUUGAUGAACUGCGCUUCUUGAGGCAGGUAGGGGUGCGAGGAACUCUUGGUGGAGCGGUGGAAUGCGUAGAUAUCAAGAGGAACGCCGGUGGAGAAGUCGUCGCACUGGGCCUGUCCUGACGCUGAGACACGAAAGCGUGGGGAGCGAACGGGCUUAGAUACCCGGGUAGUC